Molecule: long non-coding RNA, 21182 nt
Organism: Pan troglodytes (chimpanzee)
Lineage: Eukaryota; Metazoa; Chordata; Mammalia; Primates; Hominidae
Exons: 3
Source: RefSeq, a predicted model, not a curated record
AAUUAUGUGUCUUGGAGUUGCUCUUCUCGAGGAGUAUCUUUGCGGCAUUCUCUGUAUUUCCUGAAUCUGAACGUUGGCCUGCCUUUCUAGAUUGAGGAAGUUCUCCUGGAUGAUAUCCUGCAGAGUGUUUUCCAACUUGGUUCCAUUCUCCCCGUCACUUUCAGGUACACCAAUCAGACAUAGAUUUGGUCUUUUCACAUAGUCCCAUAUUUCUUGGAGGCUUUGCUCAUUUCUUUUUAUUCUUUUUUCUCUAAACUUCCCUUCUCACUUCAUUUCAUUCAUUUCAUCAUCCAUCGCUGAUACCCUUUCUUCCAGUUGAUCGCAUCGGCUCCUGAGGCUUCUGCAUUCUUCACAUAGUUCUCGAGCCUUGGUUUUCAGCUCCAUCAGCUCCUUUAAGCACUUCUCUGUAUUGGUUAUUCUAGUUAUACAUUCUUCUAAACUUUUUUCAAAGUUUUCAACUUCUUUGCCUUUGGUUUGAAUUUCCUCCCGUAGCUCAGAGUAAUUUGAUCGUCCGAAGCCUUCUUCUCUCAGCUCGUCAAAGUCAUUCUCCAUCCAGCUUUGUUCCCUUGCUGGUGAGGAAAUGUGUUCCUUUGGAGGAGGAGAGGUGCUCUGCUUUUUAGAGUUUCCAGUUUCUCUGUUCUUUUUUUUCCCCAUCUUUGUGGUUUUAUGUACUUUUGGUCUUUGAUGAUGGUGAUGUACAGAUGGGUUUUUGGUGUGGAUGUGCUUUCUGUUUGUUAGUUUUCCUUCUAACAGACAGGACCCUCAGCUGAAGGUCUGUUGGAGUACCCGGCCGUGUGAAGUGUCAGUCUGCCCCUGCUGGGGGGUGCCUCCCAGUUAGGCUGCUCGGGGAUCAGGGGUCAGGGACCCACUGGAGGAGGCAGUCUGCUUGUUCUCAGAUCUCCAGCUGUGUGCUGGGAGAACCACUGCUCUCUUCAAAGCUGUGAGACAUGGACAUUUAAGUCUGCAGAGGUUACUGCUGUCUUUUUGUUUGUCUGUGCCCUGCCCCCAGAGGUGGAGCCUACAGAGGCACGCAGGCCUCCUUGAGCUGUGGUGGGCUCCACCCAGUUUGAGCUUCCCGGCUGCUUUGUUUACCUAAGCAAGCCUGGGCAAUGGCGGGCGCCCCUCCCGCAGCCUCGCAGCCGCUUUGCAGUUUGAUCUCAGACUGCUGUGCUAGCAAUCAGCGAGACUCCGUGGGCGUAGGACCCUCUGAGCCAUGUGCGGGAUAUAAUCUCCUGGUGUGCCGUUUUUUAAGCCCAUCGGAAUAGCGCAGUAUUCGGGUGGGGGUGACCCGAUUUUCCAGGUGAAGUCUGUCACCCCUUUCUUUGACUGGGAAAGGGAACUCCCUGACCCCUUGUGCUUCCCGAGUGAGGCAAUGCCUCGCCCUGCUUUGGCUCACGCACUGCACGCGCACCCACUGACCUGCGCCCCCUGUCUGGCACUCCCUAGUGAGAUGAACCCGGUACCUCAGAUGGAAAUGCAGAAAUCACCCAUCUUCUGCAUCGCUCACGCUGGGAGCUGUUGACCGGAGCUGUUCCUAUUCGGCCAUUUUGGCUCCUCCCUUAAUAAUUUCACUUUGGUUCCUUUUUUAUAGUUUCUUUUUAUUAAAAUUCUCAUUUUGUUCAAUAUAUUGCUUUCUUGGUUUCCUUUAGUUCUUCAUUCAUAGUUUCCAUUAGCUCUUUGAGUGUAUUUAAUACAGUUGACUUAAAGCCUUUGUGUAGUAAGUCCAAUAUCUGGUCUUCCUCAGGAAUGAUUUAUUUUUUCCUUUGAAUGGCUGUACUUUUUUGUUUCUUUGUAUACUCAUUGUAUUUCAAAAAUUGCACAUUUGACUAUUAUAAUGUAGUUACCAAGGUUGGUUGUUCUUUAUUCCUGAAGGUUACAGUUUUUCUAUUUUUCUAUUGCAAAGAUUGUAUUCACUGAACUUGUGUUCACUGAAGUCUCUAGUUCUAUUAGCUUCUGUUCAGCUUGUGUUUUCUGAGAUUUUCUUAAGAUCCAGGAGUUCAAAAAAACAAACACAUACAAAACACCACUCCCACUCUUUGAGUAUUGGCUUUGUGCCAUGGCAAGUCUUUUAGGCUUAGCCAAGCCAUUUGCAACUCUGACAUAACCUUCACUUUCUGGUUGCCUUGAGUCUAGAUAUUAGCCAGAGGUGAAAUCUUAGGGUUUUCUCAAACCUUUUCUGAGCAUGCAUUCUGUCCUUAGCAUUAAGUCUAUUUUUAAAUUCCCCGGUAUAUAGGAGGACUUUUGCAUGCCCAAGUUUCCUGAAGAAACUUUCUUCUCAGGCUUUCCUACCAAGAUUUAAACAGUGUGCUGUAUGUAUAGGUCAUAGUCAUUUGCUUCAGGUGGCUGUGUGUUUCUUAUUCACCUUACAAUGUUUUCAAGCAGUGCCCACUGGUUUUCCACCUCGAGUGAGUUCUGAGUUAUGUACUUUUAUAUGUGUGCUAUAUACUGUAGUAUUUUCUGCUGUUUUAUUUCUUUUUCUCAAAAAGGCCAGUAGCAUACUACUAGAUAUUAAUUUCAAAUAACCUCCUUUCUUUUCAAAGUCUCUGCAUUACAGAAUUAAUAUAAAAGGUACUUGGGAUUUGAGAGUGACUCUUGCCUUAUUCCACUAGCUUUCACCCAUAGUGCAACCUUAGGAAUAUGUCUGUGUCCAUCCUUUAUCAGUGUAAAGGGAAACCUUUUCUUCUUUCAACCUCAACCGUGAUCCUAGAUAUUUUAAUUCUCUUCUGCUUUCAUUUUGGGAAAUGGCGGUUGCGGUAUAUAUUAACUUCCUGUGAAUUCCAUAACAAACUAUCACAAAUAAGUGGCUUAAGACAAUGGAGAUUUAUUCUCUCACAGUUCUGGAAGCCAGAAGUUUGAAAUGAAGCUAUCAACAUUUCUACAUUCCCUCUGGAGACUCUAGAGGAUAAAAUGUUCUUAGUCUGUUUUGGCAUCUGUUGGUUUCUGGAAGUGCUUGGCAUGUGGCUGCAUCACUACCAUCUCUGUUUCCAUGAUCACAAUGCCUCCUCUUUCUUCUCCUCUCUGUCUAAUCAUCUCCCUCUUCCUUACUCUUAUAAGGAAAUUUGUCAUUGGAUUUAGGGUUCACUUGGAUAAUUAAGGGUGAUCACCUCAUCUCAAAAUCCUUAAUUACAUUUACAAAGACCCCUUUUUCCAAAUAAGGUAACAUUCACAGGUUCCAGGGAUUCAGAUGUAGACAUCUAUUUUGGGGGGAGGGGUCACCUUUUUACCCAUGACAGGGGAUUUAGGAGAAGAGAAAAGACCUUCCCAGUGGAUGGCUGUCAGUGUGUUGUAUAGGCAAAAUUAGUAGACGUUUUUAUGCCACCCAGGUUAACAGUCCUAUGGGAAGCUCCAAGGAAUGUUAUUAUGCUAAGUGACAAUCCUCAGAUUUUUUAGUCAGUGUCUGAAAGCUGGAGGAAUAAGGUGUUAAUGGGGGAAAAACUCAUUUGUAUAUAGUAUGCAUUGUCUUUAUUUUAAAGGAGAAAUGAACUUUAAAUUGUGAGUGAUUUGUCUAUUUCCCUCUACUUAUUUGUCAUCAGGUUCACAAAGGUCUCUAAUCAUUCAUUUUCUGAGUUUGAAUAUUCUAUAUCUUCUAGCUCACACUUCACAUCUUUUAGCAUCUCCUGGAGUGGAGAAACUGAAUAUAGAGACAGACAAUGGACAGUUUUUAUAAAAAAAUAGAUAUCUAUCCCAUAACUUGCAACAUCCAACCUAGAAAGCCAAAUCUUGAACUCUGCAGCAAACUGUUCAUGAAAUCAAACCACUGCCUCUUUGAGGUCAGCCUCAAACAGCUAGUACUUGGUUAAUAACUGCCAGCUUCCCUAAUUUUUGUCCCUACUUCCAACUUAAGACCAAUUGGAGAAAGCCAACUAUGCUUCUUUAAUCAAUCAUGUAAGAUGCCUUGCUUCUAGUUAGCCUCAAUUCAGCUUCCCCGUGCCAACAGCCACCAAUCAGGGUGCAUAUAAAGCUUUUCCUUUUUUUACGCCAUAAAGAUUUCCCAGUUCUUUGCCUUCUUUUCAAUCUCUGCAAAAUGCAAGUGAUUGUGGCUCACUCCUUUGCUAUAGCAAACUGAAUAAAUAGUCUUUAAUUGUUCUCAUUUUUGGUGGUUUUCAUUUAUUUCCACAGGAGGCGUAUGAAACUUUGGAAGGCUCUCUCACUCACCGAAAUGGAGCCGUAGGGCUCCGUGAGGCUUCCCUGAACCCCAUCAUCCUAGACUCUCACUUAGGCACUGCAACUCUGCAGUUGUGUUGCAAUGAGAGGCUGCCAGUCUUCUCUGGCUAGACUUUGGAAAUGAGAUACAACAGUCAUUUCUGCUUUCUGGUCCUCCUAAAAUUAGCUGAGAGAUUUUUGAAGAGUCUAUUCCUCCAUCUCCCUGGGGGUUUUGGGUUUUGGGUUUUAACCAUAAGAAGGGACUUUUUUUUUUUUUUUUUUUUUUGAUACGGGACUCUGUUGCCCAGGCUGGAGUACAGUGGCAAGAUCUCGGCUCACUGCGACCUCUGCCUGCUGGGCUCAAGCGAUCCUCCUGCCUCUGCCUCCUGAGUAGCUGAGACUAGAGGUGUGUGCCACCAUGCCUGGCUAUUUUUUAUAUAUAUAUAUUUUUUGUAUGGAUGGGGUUUCGCCAUGUUGUCCAGGCUGGUCUCUAACUUCUGGACUCAAGUGAUCCACCUGUCUCGACUUCCCAAAGUGGGGGGAUUACAGGCGUGAGCCACCGUGCCCGGCCAGGACUUCUUUUUUAGGGACCCCUACUACUGACUCAUUUUGUUGCUGUCUUCUCUCUUUUCAGAUCCUCCCUCCUCUUCCUGUAACCCGAUUGUGUAGGAAAGGCCUUUUAUUUUGCGUCUGUAAUGGGUUCAAGACCUGACGUUAUCACUUAUUAGCUGUGUCAUCUUGUGCAAAUUACUAACUGGCAACUCAUUUUCCUCCUCCAUGUAGUGGGGCUAACAAAUAGUACCUGCCUCAUAGGGUUGUGAGGAUUACAUGAGGUAUAUUCAUAUAAAAAAACUUUAGAAAAGUGCCGGGCAUAUAGUAAGUAUUCAAAAGUGUUGGCUUUACUUUUAAAGUAGACAAUAGUUCUAAACUUUUAUGAGGGCUGUGAUAGAAGUAGACAAUUAAUGUCAUCUAGGUCAUAAAGAAGAAUGGAGUUACAUUCAAUUAGAGAAGGAAGAUGUCAAGAAAAGCCUUAUAGGAAAGUUGUACUUCAAAGAUCAAUGAUUACUGUCAAGCAGAUGGUGGGAUGAAGCAGGACUACAAGUGUCUGCAAAAAGGCAAGGAAAUGCAAAGGUGAUGGUGAUGCAUGGUGGAGAAGGAUGGAUGUAACGGAGAGGUGGAAAAGAAUGAUCUACAGAUGCCGAUUUCAGCAAAUGAGUAUAGAGGCAUAUUGAUCAAUAGGUUUCAAAAAUUACUGUUUAAGAAGCACCUGGAGCUACUCAUUUAAAAUUCAACUAUCUUGUCCCCAGCUUUAGGGUCCUGCACUCCAGAUGAUUCUAAGGAACGUGAAUUUCCUACACCAAAUGCUGAGAAACUUUCUGUUGCAGGCUAUGUAGACUGUAUUAAACUUAUUUUUAAAAUGACUCCUUUAAUGCCGUUGUUCUGAACCCUAGCUGCCCAUUAGAAUCAUUAAGAGUGUGAUCCAGACAUUACAGUUUUAAAAAUUCCUUAGAAGAUUCCAGUGUUCAGCCAAGGUUGAAAAGCACUAAUCUAGCAGCAGUGUAGAGGGCAGACAUCAGAAUAGUAAAAUUAGAAAUAGGGGGUUAGUUAAGAUAUCAUUGCAGUAGUGCAGGCAAGAGUGAUGAGGACAUGAACAAAGGCAACAGCUGGAGAAGUAGAGUGUAACUGAAAUGUUGAGACUAACCCAUCUAGGGCUUGGUGAUUCGUUCCAUAUGGGGGUGAGGGAGUGCGUGAUAUUAAGGAUGACUACCAAGUUUCUGAAUUGGGAUUUGAGUGGAUGGACUUGCCAUUCAACAUGAUAGAACAACUGGAGAAGAAACAGAUUUGGAAGAAGACUAUCAUUUUAUAGUGGAGGUGGGGGCAAGGGAGAGGUGACCUAAAAUUAUUGUUGUUCUUUAGUAUUGGUUCCCAGAUUUCAGUGUACAAGAAAAAUCACUUGAGACCUUGUUAAGAAUAUAGAUUUUUACUCUGUUCUCUAUUUUCUUUUUAGGAGGACUUAGAAUAAGGCCAGUGAUCUGUUUUUUUCUUUCCUUUUUUUUUUUUGAACAAAUAGCCCCAGUAUGGUAUUUAAAACUCAGUUAAGUGUACUAAGAAGUAUUUACCCUCCCUUUGUCCAUGUGUUCUCAUUGUUCAACUCCCAUUUGUAAGUGAGAAUAUAUGGUAUUUGGGGCCUGUCAGGGGAGGAUGGCAGGGGUAGAGUGUUAGGGAAAAGAGCUAAUGCAUGCUGGGCUUAAUGCCUAGGUGAUGAGUUGAUAGGUGCAGCAAACCACCAUGGACACAUUUCCCUGUGUAACAAACCUGCAUGUCCUGCACAUGUACCCUGGAACUUAAAAAAAAUAAAUUUUUUUUAAAAAGAAGCACUUACAAAAUAAAACUGAAAGCAAAUUUAAAAUUAUACUGAAAGUAUAUUUCUUGCCUAUAAAUGGUAGUGAUUCUUAAAAGUUUGAUUAUGAUAGACAAUUUACAAUGUUUUUUACACAGCUAUAUAAAAUAUUCACAGUGUAAUGAAAUAAUUUUAAUGCGCGAUUGAAACAGGAAAGGCCCAUGUGUCAAACUGGUUAUGUUAGUGAAAGAGUUCUGUUUUUAUAGUUUUAAAAGUAACUGAUAUAUAUGGAUGUAUAUGUGGAUCCAUACCAGUAAGUGUCUCUUGUAUCAUAACUAUCCAUUCAUUCCAUCUUCAGGAAUUUCAGAAUCUCUUUAUUCUCCUUUGCUUUGUAAAACAUUUCAAAAUGCCAAAACUAAUUAAUUUGUAAUACUACUGCUGAUAAUUUUUAAUUAUGAAGUUAUUAAGUUCAGGUAUAUAGGUUAAGUUUGCUAAUUAUCUUGCUGGACAUUUGCAAACCUCUGCCAGCUGUUAGAAGAAAAAUUUCCCCAGAACACUAGUCAUUUCAUAUUAUAAUGUAUGGUGAAAACUACUGCAUAAGUAUCCCAAAACAAGUGGCAUGAUAUGUUUUUCUUUUAUGAUAAUCUUUUUAUCAAAAGUACAAAUUGUUUUGUCUUCAGAGACAUAAUUAAGUUAUUCUGUAGAUAGGUAAAUCUGAAUCUCAUACUCCAUAAAUGUAAUAUUUCCCCAUGUAUAUGACCUUAAGGUGUCAAAAUAAAAUAACAAUGGACAUUAACUCUUACUCCACGAUAUUCUUGACCAUUGAAUAUCUGAGGUGGUAGAGCCUUAAGGGUAGAAACCUUUAUUCUCAUUUAUUGAAGUACUUUAAAACUGAUAGAAACAUCUGUUAAUUCAUACUUUAUAUUGUAAGUCUCUAAAAUUCUAGUAACUUCUUCUUGUCUCUGCUUCACCUAGAUAGACAGAGGGAGAGAGAAAUAGAAAGAUGUUAAUCUGCUGGCUGGUCCCAAUGUUUUUAUAUUUUUUUCAUUUUCCCUGUCCAUAUAUUAUGGAACAGGAACAGCUUUUAACGGUGUAAUUUUCUUUGAGGGGCAAAAGUUAGAUAACUUUCUUGUGAAAUCAUAUAUAUACACACAUAUAUGUAAUAUGUAAAUAUAUUAAAUAGCUGUAUUUGAUAUAUAAUAUAUAUUUUAUUUUUCAUCCUCCCAUGGGUUUUAUUUCUAUAUUUAGGCAUAGUUUCUGAUUGUGAUUUGGAACUUGUAGUAUGUUUUCCUCAAAUUAAAAAACCUGGUAUCAAGUUCAUUUUCAUAUAUAUAUAAAGAAUUUUAGUGGGGGCAGAAAAUCCCUAAUGGGUUAUAAAUAUUUACCAGAUUGAUUUCAUAACACACUUGAAGUGGUAAGAACAUUCUGCUAACACUUGAGGCAGCCUUUGCACUCCUCACUGCAUUAAUUUAUGCUAAUAUCUAUGGCAGCUUUGUGUAGGAAAUGGACAUGAUACCAGGUUUUUAAGUUUGUGGAAACCAUACUACAAGUUCCAAAUUAUAAUCAUAGACUAUGCCUAAAUAUAGAGAUAAAAUCCACAGGAUGGAAAAAUAAAAGAAAAUAAAUACACAAGGGGAUUAAUAUUUACAAAUACGUGAGUGGAUAAAAGUGGUCAGUUCUUGCUAUGUUCUCUCGUGUGAACUGUAAGAUUUGUAUCAUCUGUUAACAGACUGUUUUUUUCCAUUGUCUUUUCCCCUGAAACACAUGUAACUGCUAAAGUAAAAUGUUAAUAGUUGGCUGUCUUUUAAACAUAUUUUUUAACUACAAUUUUAAAAAUAAGUACAGCAUGAAUGUUAGGUAAAGGUUGAGGUUUCUGUGUUUUUGCACAACAAUGUUAGGCCAUUUUGUCACAUAAAAUCUCUAAUGCUAGCAGGAGAAAACAUAUGUGAAAGUAAUUUGAGAGGUACAAACCCCAGUUUAUUCAAGUGGGAUUCCUGUGAAAGUCAGUGGGCUUUUUGUUUAAUGACUUGCAAAUAUUCCAGCCAUGCUUAAGAAACUCUGCCUAUUUCCAACAGACAGCAGAAAAAAUUCUGAAGUUCCAAAAUUCAGCAUUUCUCCCUUCUAAGCCUUCUUAGAUUUUGAGGUUGCAAAAGCAUGUUGAAUGUGACAUGUCACAUUUUUGUAGUAGUUUUUCAAAACCUUUUCAAAGGAAACCAUUAAGAGAAGAACAGCCUAGACCAAUGUUAUUCUGCGUGUGAUUCACAGACUGGCAGCAUCAGCAUUACUACACUUUAAGUCUACAAAAUCAGACUCACUGGGAAUGUGUCUUAGGUAUCUGUUUUAACAAGUCCUCUAGAUGAUUUUUUUGCUACAGUUUGGGAGUCAUGGACCAAUAGUUGGGUGAAUCUUUUGCUGCACCCAUCAUGGUCUUUAUUUAUUAAAUUAUUCUUUCUUAUGGAUGCUUAGUACCAUACUCAAUAACAUAAAUCACAGUGUUAAAAACAACAGCAACUAGUCAAAUAGUCCAUAAUUUUCUUUUUCUUUCUUUCUUUUUUAAAUCUGUAUAAAUGUAUGGGGUACAACUGCAGUUUUGUUGCAUGGGUAUAUUGCAGAGUGGUGAAGUCGGGUCUUUUAGUGUGUCCAUCACCUGAAUAAUGUACAUUGUACUCAUUAAGUAAUUUCUCAUUACCCACACCCCUCCCACCCUCCCAUUCUUCAUAACUUUCUUUUUAAAAACAGCCUUUUGCUAUCGGUGUUUCUUAAUACCCAAGUGAAAUCACUAAUCUACCAGACCAGGUUUUAUGCAACAGCAAUGCACUCUUUCUAGGCUGAGAUCAAACCUCAUUCCUGUCUGCAGUUAUCAUGGCGUCUGGCGCAUAGCAAUCAUGUAGAGUGUUUGUCAACCAUUUAUAAUAAUCUCCACAUCCUUCAGUUUUCAUUCUUCUCUAAAAACUUUGCAGAAUGAGGUUCUAAGUCAUAUAAUCGUCCGUCUUUAACUGUGCUAUCCAAUGUGAUAACCACUAGUCACAUGUGACUUUUGUGUUCUUGAAAAUUUGCUAGUCCAAAAUGAGAUGUGCCAUAUGCACGCAAAUCCAUGCUGGAUUUUGAAGACAAUGUGAAAAAAGAAUAAGUAACAUCUUUUAAAAACAUUGACUACAUAUUGCAAUGAUAUUUUGUAAAUUUUGUGUCAAAUAAAACUUUAGUAUCUUUUUUAAGUGGCAACUACAAUUUUUUAAAUUUGAUAUGUGACUCACAUUAUUAUAUUUUUGUUGGAAGGCAUGGUUCUAUAAUAUUUCUUUUAUCCCCAUCAAAAUAAUUCAUCUAAACUUUAAUUCAUCUAAGAAAUGUCUCAUCUAUGCAAAUACAAUUGCUUCUUAGAAAUCAACAACCAGUUUGCCCUUCUUUUAGGUUGCCUUGACUUCUUGGAUGAUUUUGGCCGUUUACUCACUGACAUUUUUCCUCUCCUGUACUAAACAGGAUUUUUUACUUCUUCCAUUUGAAACAUCUGCAAAAUUAUUGGAGGACCUUAAGAUGGUUGAGCUCAGAAUACUGAAACCUCCUGGAUCAUUCCAUUCUAAGAGCACAACCUAAGUGAGGGCAAUAAUCACUUUCUCUGUUUUCCUUGCACCUCCCACCUUUGAAAACUUAGAGUUGAAGAAUAGAAGGCAGAAACGGGCUGAUAAUGUCUUAGCACAAUCUUAAGUCUUCACUCCUACCCACUAUCCCCACCCCACUGGCUGAGGUUCUUUUCUUCCCACUCACCUCCUUAGAGCCUGACAUGCUGGUGUAAUAGACUUUAAUGGAACUCAUUGUUUCCACUGAGUCUACUUUGCAGAAGCAACACAGGGUCAGCCUCUUCACCGCUGCUUCAGGCUCAACUCCCAUACCCCGCCCUGCCCUUAUUCUUGGCCAUUGGUAAGGGCCAGCGGCCCAUGCACUCACCAUUGCCUGGGAAACAAGUGCCUCUGUAGCCUAGGCAAGGGUCCGUUCCAGGGAAUGCUGGUGAAGAGGAAGUGGAAUCCCCACUGGCUUGGGGGAGUGGUCUGGACACCUAGGGAUGAUAAACUACAGGUAAGUCCUCUUCUAUUGUCUCAUCUGCGAGGCUCAGGGGAGGGGGAGAGGGAAGAGCAAAUUGAAUCUGCAAUCCUGCUGCCUUUUCUCCCCCUCCAUGCUUGGGAAUGGAGGAGAACAUGAACUUUCCUGCUGUCAACUGCAGCCACGCUUGAAAGACCUAGAUACCUGAGGGAGAAAAUGGCCAAAAUAAAAUGUAAUCAGUGAAGAAAAGAUAAAUAAAAAUCACGUUGCUUGUGCUUGUAGGGACAGAGCAAAAGGUGCCUGUCAGGACAUGACCACUUUAUCAACUUUUGUUAUCUCUUAGCACAGGGAAAUGCCUCCAUUCUCCAGUCCUCCUCCCUUCUUGAGGGCCUGCUUUGUAAGCUGCCCUUUCCUUCUGGGAGUUGACCUUUUGGUUUCUGAAAUAGCGGGUUCAGUUGUCCCUGCCUGUCCUACACUUCCUCUUCCUUUUUCCUGUAUAAAAGGGACCUCUGUCUUAAAUGCUUGCUUCCUCUUCAAUACGUUCAUAUCUCAUUUUUUCAGCCUUUAUUUUUUAUUGUAACCUUGUAAAGUAGUGGAAAAUAGGAACAAUAUUUACAGGAUUUGGGCAGUUUGCCAAAUGUGGGGAAUGGAAAUUGAGAGUGAAGGGCCAAAGAACCUCAACUCCAAACGUUUGAGUUAGGCACAUUUAGAAUCUAUGGCUCUACCACUUAAUAACUAUGAAUCUCAGGUAAAUUACUUCCUCCAGUGUCAGUUUCUUUAUUGUUAAAAAGAGGGCAGUGAUACCAACCUAAAAGCAUCAUUGUGAGGAUUAAAAUAAUUGAGUACAUAAAAGUGUUUGGUAAACUGUCUGACACAUUGUAGGUAGUGCAGAAAAUGAUAAGUUUUGUUUAUGAUAAUAAGUGCCACACUCUCCAUAUUGCUUGGGAACACGUGCAUGAAUAAGACAAAAUGUUUACCUUCAAGGAACUCACAGAGUGAUAACUGGUAAGAUGAAGUAAAUACAAUUAAGAGAAAUCAAAACCAGGCUAGGUGGGUUAAGGCAUGUAUCUUUAAAGCACUGAAACCUGAUGGAUGUAUAUACUCUGCCAGGAAAUUAUGAGAAGGAAAACAUUUCAGGUAGAAGGACCGAUAAUGAAGCAAUGUGGUAAUUGGAGCUUUGGGAGCAAGUGGAGGAAAAGAUGGAGGCUGAGGAAGUAAACAAGGCAAAUCACAGAGGGGUUCAGCUUUCAUGUUGUAUUUUGAUUUUUAAUAAUUGGAGGGUAUUUUCUGUUUUUUAAAAUUGUGGAUAAUCCCAACUGGCAGAUUUGCUGCGAAGAUUAAGUGUAGAAGUUUCCUAAGAACAUCUUUCACUUAUGAGACACUCAAUAAAUUGUGUCUAUGCUUAUUAUUAAUUGAUGGGUGAUCAGAAGCCAUUGAAGAUUUCAGAAAGUUUGUGAGAAAGGUAGACCAAUCUAGGAUGGCAAUUGGAUUGGAAAGAGGCAAGGUUGGAAGCAACUACAACAAUCUAAGAACGAAAAGUCAUGAGAGAAGUGAAAAGGCAGAUAUUCUGAGGACAGGGCAUUGCUACAACUUGAUUGAGCUGGAGGUAGGGGUGAGGACGGCAAAAGAGGUGGGAUAUAACAUAAAGGAGUCUAUGUUAGAAGCAAAAAGUGUUCCAUUUUCCCAACACCUCACCAGCAUCUGUCAUUUUUUGACUUUUUAAUAAUAGCCAUUCUGAGCUUUUACACUGUUGGUGGGAGUGUAAAUUAGUUCAACCAUUGUGGAAGAUAGUGUGGUGAUUCCUCUAGGAUCCUGAACCAGAAAUACCGUUUGACCGAGCAAUCCAAUUACUGGGUAUAUCCCCAAAUGAAUAUAAAUCAUUCUGUUAUAAAGAUAUAUGCACACAUAUGUCUAUUGCAGCACUAUUCACAAUAGCAAAGAUAUGGAAUCAACCCAAAACCCAUUAAUGAUAGACUGGACAAAGAAAAUGUGGUACAUAUACACCAUGGAAUACUAUGCAGCCAUAAAAAUGAAUGAGAUUAUGUCUUUUGGAGCUGGAAGGCAUCAUCCUCAGCAAAGUAACACAGGAAAACAAAACCAAGCACCACAUACUCUCACUCAUAAGUGGGAGCUGAACAACGAGAACACAUUGACACCGGGAGGGGAACAACAUGAACUGGGGCCUGUCAGGGGGCAGAGGGAGGUGAGCAGCAGGACAAACAGCUAAUGCAUGUGGAGCUUAAUACGUAGGUGAUGGAUUGAUAGGUGCAGCAAACCACUGUGACACACAUUUACCUAUGUAACAAACCUGCACAUUCUGCACAUGUAUCCCAGAACCUAAAAAAAAAAUAAAAAAAAAAUAAUAACAAUAGCAAUUCUGACUGGUGUGAGAUGGAAUCUCAUUUUGAAUUUGAUUCGCACUUCUCUAAUAAUUAGUGAUACUGAAAAUUUUGUCAUAUGCGUGUUGGCUGGGUCUAUACCUUAUUUUGAAAAAUGUCUGCAUCCUUUGCCUGCUUUUUGAUAGGGUUUUUUUUUAUGCAUGUUACUUUAAGUUCCUUAUAGAUUCUGGAUAUUAGACCUUUGUUGGGUGCAUAAUUUGCUAAUAUUUUCUCCCAUUUAAUAGAUUGUCUGUUUACUCUGUUGAUAGUUUCUUUUGCUGUGCAGAAGCUCUUUAGUUUAUUUAGGUUCCAAUUGUCAAUUUGUGUUUCUGUUGCAAUUGCUUUUGGCAUCUUGGUCAUAAAAUCUUUUCCAGGUCCUUUGUCCAGAAUGGUGUUUCCUAGGUUAUCCCCCAGAAUUCGUAUAGUUUUAGGUUUUAUAUUUAAGUGUUUAAUCCAUCUUGAGAUAAUUUUUGUAUAUGGUGUAAGAAAGGGCUUCAGUUUCAGUCUUCUGCAGAUGGGUAGCCAGUUGUUCCAGCACCAUUUAUUCAAUAGGGAGUCCUUUCCCCAUUGCUUGUUUUUGUCAAUUUUGCUGAAGAUCAGAUGGUUGUAGGUGGCUGGCAUUAUUUCUGGAGUCUCUAUUCUGUUCCAUUAGCCUAUGUGUCUUUUUUCUUGUACCAAUAUCAUGCUAUUUUGGUUACUGUAGACUUUUAGUAUAGUUUGAAGUCAGAUAAUGUGAUGCCUCCAGCUUUGUUCUUUUAGCUUAGGGUUGCCUUGGCUAUUCGGGCUCUUCUUUGGUUCCAAAUGAAUUUUAAAUUAGAGUUUUCUAAUUCUGUAAUGAAAUUUGUGUUUGAUAGGAAUAGCAUUGACUUGGUAGUUUCAUAGGAAUAGCAUUGAAUGUGUAAAUUGCUUUGGGCACUAUGGCCAUUUUAACAAUAUUGAUUCUCCCUACCUAUGAUCAUGGAAUGUUUUUCCAUUUGUUUGUGCCAUCUCUGAUUUCAUUAAGCAGUAUUUUGUAAUUCUUGCUGUAGAGGCUUUUCACCUCCUUGGUUAGCUAUAUUCUUGAGUAUUUUAUUCUUUUUGUGGCUAUUUUGAAUGGGAUUGCAUUCUUAAUUUAGUUCCCAGCUUGGAUGUUGUUGGUUUAUAGGGAUGCUACUGAUUUUUGUACAUUGAUUUUGUGUCCUGAAACUUUGCUGAAGUUGUUUAUCAGAUAGAUCAAGGAGCUUUUGGGCAGAGACUAUAGGGUUUUCUAGCUAUAGAAUCAUAUUGUCUGCAAACAGGGAAAAUUUGCCUUCCACUCUUCCCAAGUGGAUGCCUUUUAUUUCUGGCUCUUGCCUAAUUACUCAGGCCAGGACUUCCAGUACAAUGUUGAAUAGGACUAGAGAGAGAGCGUAUCCUUGUCUUGUUCCAAUUUUCAGUGGGAAUGCUUCCAGCUUUUACCCAUUCAGUACGAUGCUAGCUAUGGGUGUUUCAUAGAUGGUGCUUAUUAUUUUGAAGUAUUUUCCUUCAAUGCCUAGUUUGUUGAGGGUGUUUAACAUGAAUAAAUAUUGAAUUUUACGGAAGAUCUUUUCUGCAUCUAUUGAGAUGAUCAUGUGGUUUUUACUUUUAGUUCUGUUUAUGUGGUGAAUCACAUUUAUUGAUUUGUGUAUGUUGAAUCAACCUUGCAUUUUAGGGAUGAUGGUGGAUUAGCUUUUUGAUGUGCUGCUGGACUUUGUUUACUAUAAUAUUAACAGUAUUUUGUUGAGGAUUUUUGCAUCUAUGUUCAUCAAGGAUACUGCCUUGAAACUUUCUUUUUUUGUGUGUGUCUCUGCAAGGUUUUGAUAUCAACAUCACGGUGGCAUCAUGAGUCAGGGAGGAGUCCAUCCCCGUCAUUGUUUUUGAAGUAUUUUCAGUAGGAAUGGUACCAGCUAUUUUUUUAUGCACCUGGUAGAAUUCAGCUGCGUUUUUGGUCCUGGGCUUUUUUUGGUUGGUAUGCUUUUUAUUACUGAUUCAAUUUCAGAACUUGUUAUUGGUCUGUUCAGGGAUUCAAUCUCUUCCUGGUUAAAUCUCAACAUGUUGUAUGUUGCCAGGAAUUUAUUUCUUCUAAGUUUUCUGGCUUGUGUGCAUAGAGGUAUUCAUAAUAGUCUCCGAGGGUGUUUUUUUUUUUUCUAUUUCUGGGUUAUCAUUGGUAAUGUCCCCUUUGUCAUUCUGAUUGUGUUUUUCUCUUUUUUUAUUAGUCUAGCUAGCAGUCUAAUUUCUUCCAAGGAACAAACUCCUGGAUUCGUUGACCUUUUGUAUGGUUUUUCUUCUCAUUUUUCUUCAAUUUAGCUCUGAUUUUGGUUAUUUAUUUUGUCUUCUGCCAACUUUCGGGUUGGGUUGCUCUUUUCUCUCUCUUUUUCUUCUUCUUCUUUUUUUUUUUAAAUAGGUUUCAUUAUGUUUCCAGUGUAGGAUUGUGACAUACCUCCUCAUUUCACUGUGAGCCAUUCCCUUGACUCUAAGCUACAUUAGUGCACUACUUCUCACAAGAGUGCAUCUUUGACAACCUAAAAUAAUUAGGUUACUAUUGCAUACAAAAUUAUAACCUACUCUAUAGUAUGUUUGUGAUAAUCAUUUAUAAUGGUAAAACUGUAAAACAAAAGCUGUAUUGAUAAUUGUAGAUAAAAAUGUGAACUACAUAGAUAUUUUGCUUAUGCUGCCUAGUCUACUUUGGCAGUUUGCAUCUGGGUGUAUAAAUCCUUCUAAAAAACAGGUAAGACAUUUGUGAGGCUGAGGAAAAUACAUUAUAAAGAGGGUAGUAAAGAUUUUUCUUCUUCUUUUGUGUGUGUAAAUGUUUUAUUAUUAUUCAAGUAAUACGUGAAUACAUGCUCAUUUGUACAAGAAUUCAAACCAUGUGUAAAUAUAUAGAGUAAAAUGGAAAAUAUUCCUUCAGUUACCUCCUACCUCUGUCCCUCCAGAGGAAGCUACUAUUAAGAAUUUGAUUUGUAUCCUUUUCCGCCAACAUGGUUACACAUAUUAAGGUAACUAAAAGGGAGAAAAAGUCAGUUUAACAAAGAAGUUAAGCAUGCUUUCUUUGAAGCUGGGCUGCCUGGGUUAAAACCCAGAUUCUGUUACUUAAUGUUGUGUGAUAUUGGUGAUGUUAUCUAAUGUCUCUGUGCCUGGGUUUCCUCAUAGGUAAAAUGGGGAUAUUAAGCACUUCAUAGACAUGUUAUGAGGAUGUCUUUAGCAUGUGUGAAGUAUUUAGAAUAGUGCCUGGCAUAUAGUGCACACAAUUCAUCAUGGAAUCAUGAUGCAUAUAUUGUUUCACAACUUGUAUUCUGUACACAUAGGGGAAAUGUAGUGUAGCCAUUAAGAGGAUGGAUUCUGGUUCUGAAUCCAAUUAUCAGGUGCAAAUCCUAGUUCUAUCAUUUACUAGCUUUAUGCCUGUCAGGAAGUAUAUAAACUUCCUUUGUUUUCUCUGUAAAAUGGGGGUAGUAGCUUUAGCUCUAAAUUAAGUACUAUAUAUAGGACAUUUAGAAUGACUGACAUGUAGUAAUUACUCUGUAGAUGCUUAUUAUUAUUAUGUCAUUGAAAGCACUCAGUUUAUUAUUUCAUGUUAUAGAUAUAUUAUAAUUAAUUUAACAAUUCGUAGUUGAUGGUCAUUUAGAUUACUUCUAAUUAUUCAUUGUUACAAAAUAUUCUGGUAUCCAUACUUUAACUAAAAAUGGAAUUACCAUUUGACCCAUUAGACCCACUGCUGGGUACCUAUCAGAAGAAAAAUAAAUUGUUAUAUCAAAAAAAAAAAACACCUGUACUUGUGUGUUUAUCACAGCACUAAUCACAAUAGAAAAGUCAUGGAAUCAAUUUGAGUGUCCAUCAGUAGAUGAUUGGAUAAAGAAAAUAUGGUAUAUACACACAAUAGAAUACUACCCAGCCAUAAAAAAAGAGUGAAAUCAUGUCUUUUGCAGCAGCAUGAAUGGAGUUUGAGGCCAUUAUCCUAAGUGAAAUAACUCAGAAAGAGAAAACAAAAUACCACACUUUUCCACUUACAAGUGGGAGCUAAAUGGGUAUAAAUGAGCAUACGGAGGAAAAUAAUAGACACUGGAGACUACAGAAGGGAGCAGGUUGGGAGGGGGAUGAGGGUUGAAAAAUUACCUGUUGGGUACAGUGCUCACUUUUCAGGUGAUGGGUAUGCUAGAAGCCUAAACUCCACCACUGCACAAUAUAUCCAUGUAACAAACCUGCACAUGUACCCCAUGAAUCUAUAAAUAUUUUUUAAAAAUUAAAAUAACCUUGUCUCUGCCUUAACUUGUAUGAAAAAAAGCUAGUGCUAUUAACAUUUUCCCAUUCUCAUUGUUACUGAAAACUUGAAUAAACAUUUUCAAGAUCCUCUUUUGGAUCACUACCAUACCGAACACGUGAUCAAUCCAUGUCAUUUUCUUAUUAGUUUGGUUCAAUCCCAGGGUGUGAGUGGAAAGCAGAACAAUUUGUGUGGUUAAAGCUUUAUUUUUGAAGAGUAAACGAAAUAUGAGAACUAAAUGAGCCAAACAGGACAUCUUCUGUGUUUUUACUGUUGGAGUCUCAGAAAAACAAAUCUUUAGGUAUCCUGAUAUUUCAAAAAGAUGUGAGAAGAAGAAGAGAGACCUCUCCAGCUGUUAGUGAACACAUUCUCAUUAGGGUAAGCUGUCUGUAUAUUAUGUAGGUGAUCUCAUUGACUAGAACUAAUCCUUACCUGUUUGGUCAUACUAUACUUGGGUUUUUCUCCUAAUAAAAGGAGGCAUAACUAUGCAACUUCCAAUUUUGCAUCCAUCUGCAAUUAGAAAAAUUGAGAAACAAGUUUAGAUCAUGAGGGAGUAAGAACACCAAGAACCCGUAUUCUAGCCUUUGCUCUAUUACUAUACAGCUUCCCAUAUUAUCUUGGGGAAAACUUUUAACUUUUUUGUGGCUUUGAUUUCCUAAUCAGUAAAUUAAAAUGGUUGUUUACAUGAUCUCCAAGGGCCUAUCUAGGUUGAACAGUCAUGAAUUAUGAAUGUUUUCACUUCAAAUUUUUAUUACAAGUACUUUUGGUUUCUUUACUAAUUCAUAAUUCUAGGUUACAUUAUUUCAGUAACUAAGUUUAUUUUCCAUUUGCUAUUAUAAAGCAAUUGCUUAUAAACUGACCUACGUGGCCAAUAUGUAAUUGGAAAUUUUUCUUGGGAUAUUUUAGUUCUUGGUGGAGCUUUUAAUACUGUCUCAAUCACUGAGGAUUUAUAAAGAUUUCAACAGUUAAAUUACAAAAUACGCUCUUUGACAUAGGGUUUCAGAAGUACCCAGAAUUGAAAGGAAAAUGCCUUCUUUCUACAUUAGAAACAAGGAGGAGCCAUAGAAAUUUGAAAGUAAAAUUUAUAUCAGUUAUUUUAUCUUUUUAUAUAAAUAGAAUUUAAAAUGUUGAUUAUAAUAUGUGGACUAUUAUUGCAUAUAACAACAAAAUGUUAAACAUAAACUAUUAAGAGUGAUUUUGACUCACUGAUACUGAAAAAAAGUUGGGUAUUUUAAUCAAAGAAUAGAUGAGCACUCAAAGACUAUUCUGCUUCUAACAUCAUUUUGGCACAGUCCAUAAUUUUCUGGGACACAUUUUCAGUGCAUAUACUGGCUUUCUAUUUGUAAAACAUGUAAGUUUUAGUAAUAAUAAUUUGUCUAAGACUGUGUACAUAUAAGCAUGGCUAAUGCAACUCUUUAUAUCCUUUUCCUCAAAUAUUAUUAUUUGAUUGCUCAAGUUGUAAAAAGAAAUCUGUUGUUUUUAUUAUAAUUGAAUGACAUCUUUAGGUUAAUUAGAGGGAAAUUCAGUUUUACUGUCCUAUUGCUGCCAUAUGAAAACUGACUUCAAUGAUUGCAUAAUAUAUAUAAUAUAAUGCAUAUAUAUAAAUUAUAGGAAAUAAUUUAUUGAACAAAUUUUUAGAACCAAAUCAAACUUUAUUUUUUCCAACAUAUUAUUUUUUAAAAUAUCAAGCCUAUGGAAUUUCAAAAACAAGCUGGGCACUGUGGCUCAUGCCUGUAAUUCCAGCACUUUGGGAGGCUGAGAUGAAUGGAUUACUUGAGGCCAGGAAUUCGAGACCAGCCUGACCAACAUGGCGAAAACCCUUCUCUGUUAAAAUACAAAAAUUAGCCUGGCGUGGUGGUGCAUGCCUGUAACACCAGCUACUCGGGAGGCUGAAGCAGGAGAGUCGCUUGAACCUGGGAGAUGGAGGUUGCAGUGAGCCAAGAUCGCAUCACUGCACUCCAGCCUGGGUAACAGAGUGAGAGUCUUGUAUAUAUGUAUAUAUUAUUGUCAUUUGCUGAAUUAUUUGAGACUGAAUUGCAGAUAUCCUGACUAUUCACCCCUUAAUAUUUCUUAAUCCAUUAAUAUUUUCUUUAAAAAAAGGCCAUUCUAGUACAUAAUCACAAUCUAUCAAAUGCACAAAGGUUAAAUUGAUAAAAUGGUGUUAGCUAACAUAUUUUCAUAUUUUAAAUUUUGCCAAAUGUCCCCCAAUUUUUAAUAGUAUUUUUCUCCUGAUCCAUGAUCAUGCAGUACAUCCAGUUGUCAUAUUUUUAAAUUACCUUUAAUAUAAAACUAUUUUUCAGUUUUCAUUGCCUUUUAUGACACUGGCAUUUUUGAAGAGUACAUGCAAGUUGUUUUGGAGAAAAUAACUCAAGUUGGAUUUAUUGAUUGUUUCUUCAUGAGUAGGUAAGUUAUGCAUCUUUUGUGAUGCUAUAACACAUUAAAGUUUUAAUGUUAAUAUUUGAAGCCCUUUGUCAAUUUUUCCCUUUUCCCCACCCUUGGCCCGUAUCUAUCCAAACUUCUUUUGCAUAAAUCUCUUAUAUAAAUUCCUUAUUUUCUACCAUACAUUUUACUCAUGCUCUUCAUAUUACACAAAAUGACUUAUUUUUACCAUACAUAACCCCAUUUCAUCAGGGCCUGCCUCACAGUGCACAUUUUAAUAUUAGCCUUCUCUUACUCUACCUUUUCCUGCUUCUUUGCUAAAUUUGCCUUUUCUUGUUGCACUUGUACAUAUACACGUGCCAAGUUUGAACUUGGUCUGUAUCUACUUUUUGUCUUGCCUCUCUAGUUUGGUUCAAAGACAGAGAGCAUGCUGUUUAAUUGUUUUGUUUCUUCCAUGGUACCAAGCCCAGAUCUUCAGUAGAUGAAUAAAUCCAUCUCAUGAUUCUGAUUAAUAUGUACAUUUGUAAUUUUAUAUUUAUUUAUUUACUUUUAAGACAGGGUCUGUUGCCCAGGCUGGAGUGCAGUGGUGCUAUCACUACUUACUGCAGCCUCAAACUCCUGGGCUCAUGCAAUCCUCCCACCUCAGAUUCCCCUAUAGCUGAGACUACAGGCAUGCACCACCAUUCUCAGCUAAUUUUGUGAAAUUUUUUUAUAGACACGGGGUCUCAUCAUGUUGCCCAGGCUGGUCUCGAACUCCUGGGUUCAAGCCAUCCUCCUGUCUCAGCCUUCCAAAGUGCUGGGAUUAUAGAGUUCUUUGAUCAUUUGCUGGCUGGGAUAGAAGAUAUAUCAGGACACUGGGGACAAUAUUACUGGAAAGACAAGUGAGGAUUUGCCAAAAGCAUACCUGUGUAUAUGUAUAGAAAAAAAAUGAGUCUGUUUAUUUUUCUGUAUGUUUCUGUUGGCAGUAGUUGAGCUUUAUUCGUCCACAUGACAUUAAAAAGAUGACAGCUAAAAACAAAGGCAGAAAUCUUUCUUUUUCUUUCCCUUACCAGGAGAGACAUGAUUGAUAUAAAAUCCAGACUCUAAAACUAAAACAGUGUGCCAUAAAAUUUCUGGCCAUCCCUUUCUCUUGAGAAUAUUAUGCACAGAUACAGAGAAAGGGGGUUUACAUCAAAUCAUAUUGCUAUCCUAUGUAAACCUUCUAAUAUUUUGCCACUUAAAAAUAUCCAAACUUUUACCUUGGUUUAGAAAGCACUGCACCAACUGGCUAUUACGCUUUCUUGCCUCAUCUCAUACUAUUCUCCCUGUCAUUUACUACACUUCAGCCAUAUUGUCAUUCUGUCUGUUUCUUCAAUACAUUGAAUACAGCCCAUUUUUACCUUAAAGCCUUUGCAUAAUGUUCUCUUUGCCUGGGAUGUUCUACAUGAUCCUUUAAUGCCCAGAAUUUUCUUGUCAUUCAAGUUUUAGUUUAAUUUUGUCUCCUCAGAGAGUUUUCCCCUCACUACUCAAUCAUUCUCUAUAUUAGUGGACUGUAAUUCUCUGAAGAACACAUAACUCUGAUAUUUUAAUACUUAAUCUUACUUAUUAAAUAAUAUUUUUUACUUUUAAUUUAAAAAACAUUAUAAAAAUAUAUUGUUAUUUUUACUGUAUGUUU